AGAGUUUGAUCCUGGCUCAGGAUGAACGCUGGCGGCACGCAUAACACAUGCAAGUCGAGCGGAGGCGGAGAGGCGCAAGCAAGGAAGCCUUAGCGGCGGACGGGUGAGUAACGCGUGGGUAACCUGGCCUGUACAGGGGGAUAACACAUAGAAAUGUGUGCUAAAACCGCAUAAGCCUACGGUAUCGCAUGAUAAAGUAGGAAAAACUGAGGUGGUACAGGAUGGGCCCGCGUCUGAUUAGCUAGUUGGGGAGGUAAAGGCCCACCAAGGCGACGAUCAGUAGCCGGUCUGAGAGGAUGGACGGCCACAUUGGGACUGAGACACGGCCCAAACUCCUACGGGAGGCAGCAGUGGGGAAUAUUGCACAAUGGGGGGAACCCUGAUGCAGCGAUGCCGCGUGAAGGAAGAAGGUUUUCGGAUUGUAAACUUCUAUCAGCAAGGAAGAAAGAGGACAGUACUUGAAUAAGAAGCCCCGGCUAACUACGUGCCAGCAGCCGCGGUAAUACGUAGGGGGCAAGCGUUAUCCGGAAUUACUGGGUGUAAAGGGUGCGUAGGCGGUAGCGCAAGUUCGGUGUGAAAACCAUGGGCUUAACCCAGGGCAUGCAUCGAAAACUACGAUACUAGAGUGCAGGAGAGGAAAGCGGAAUUCCUAGUGUAGCGGUGAAAUGCGUAGAUAUUAGGAAGAACACCAGUGGCGAAAGCGGCUUUCUGGACUGCAACUGACGCUGAGGCACGAAAGCGUGGGGAGUAAACAGGAUUAGAUACCCUGGUAGUCCACGCUGUAAACGAUGAAUGCUAGG
Molecule: ribosomal RNA, 800 nt
Filed under: uncultured bacterium
Lineage: Bacteria
Description: bacterial SSU rRNA
Rfam family: Bacterial small subunit ribosomal RNA
Source: RNAcentral